CGGACGGGUGAGUAACGCGUGAGAAUCUAGCUUCAGGUUCGGGACAACAUUGGGAAACCGAUGCUAAUACCGGAUGUGCCGAGAGGUGAAAGGCUUGCUGCCUGAAGAAGAGCUCGCGUCUGAUUAGCUAGUUGGUGGUGUAAGGGACUACCAAGGCGACGAUCAGUAGCUGGUCUGAGAGGAUGAUCAGCCACACUGGAACUGAGACACGGUCCAGACUCCUACGGGAGGCAGCAGUGGGGAAUUUUCCGCAAUGGGCGAAAGCCUGACGGAGCAAUACCGCGUGAGGGAGGAAGGCUCUUGGGUUGUAAACCUCUUUUCUCAAGGAAGAAGUUCUGACGGUACUUGAGGAAUCAGCAUCGGCUAACUCCGUGCCAGCAGCCGCGGUAAUACGGAGGAUGCAAGCGUUAUCCGGAAUGAUUGGGCGUAAAGCGUCCGCAGGUGGUGGUGUGUGUCUAUUGUCAAAGCAUCAUGCUUAACAUGAUAAAGGCAGUAGAAACUACACGACUAGAGUGCGUUCGGGGCAGAGGGAAUUCCUGGUGUAGCGGUGAAAUGCGUAGAGAUCAGGAAGAACACCGGUGGCGAAAGCGCUCUGCUAGGCCGCAACUGACACUGAGGGACGAAAGCUAGGGGAGCGAAUGGGAUUAGAUACCCCAGUAGUC
RNAcentral lists this ribosomal RNA (662 nucleotides) under uncultured Oscillatoria sp. RNAcentral describes it as "bacterial SSU rRNA". It matches the Rfam family "Bacterial small subunit ribosomal RNA", at positions 99 to 795 of the family's 1533-position model. Lineage: Bacteria; Bacillati; Cyanobacteriota; Cyanophyceae; Oscillatoriales; Oscillatoriaceae. The record is from RNAcentral.